This 215-nucleotide long non-coding RNA is filed under the name Coffea arabica (coffee). RNAcentral describes it as "long non-coding RNA (CARA_LNC006315)". Lineage: Eukaryota; Viridiplantae; Streptophyta; Magnoliopsida; Gentianales; Rubiaceae. The record is from RNAcentral.
CUCAGUCGUUCACUACAGUUCUCAAAUAGAUUACAAUAUAAAUCUCAAAUAUUACAUCAAAUUCUCCAAUAAUUACAUGUCAUAAGCGAAGCGGAAACAAUUCCCAACUAUACAUAAAAUGAUUUCCAAAUCCAAACUGUACAAGAUAUAUGCCAUCCAGUCACGUGAAUAAUUACUACAAGCCUUCCUUCGCCACGAGCCCUGUGGAGGGGAAC